This 504-nucleotide long non-coding RNA is filed under the name Salmo salar (Atlantic salmon). RNAcentral describes it as "lncRNA (ENSSSAG00000117910.1)". The record is from RNAcentral. Lineage: Eukaryota; Metazoa; Chordata; Actinopteri; Salmoniformes; Salmonidae.
UCUCUCUGUCCCUCUCUGUGUAAACCUGGCCCCUACGUCUCUCUGUCCCUCUCUGUGUAGGUGUGAAGCCCUCUGAGCCAGGGAAGAGGUCCAGGUGGGAUGUGUCUGGCCAGGCUGGGGACGAGGACAGGAAGGAGAAGGAUCCAAUCAGUGAUUUCCUCAGUGUGGCUCGUAUUGAAGCCUCUGGGUCAGGACCGGACACCUCUACUACUGAUGGCCCUACAACGGAUCCUACUGUAGAGCCGGACACGGAGCAGAAAGACGAGAAGGACGAGGAGGAGGAGGAAGAGGAGAGCAGGCCGUCUAUGGAUCUGUUCAAAGCCAUCUUCGCCUGUUCAUCAGACGAGAAGUCUUCCUCUUCUUCAGAAGGAGAGAGUGAGGAGGAGGAGGAGGAGGAAGGUGUUCGGAGCAAGGCUGGGACCGGGCCUCAGAUAUCUAACCAGCUGAACGUCAACACAACCCGACCUGCUCUUCCUGUGUCGGCGACACCCAGCCAGCACCCAG